RNAcentral lists this unclassified non-coding RNA (334 nucleotides) under soil metagenome. RNAcentral describes it as "partial contains 5.8S ribosomal RNA, internal transcribed spacer 2, and large subunit ribosomal RNA". The stretch from base 1 to 120 matches the Rfam family "5.8S ribosomal RNA", at positions 35 to 154 of the family's 154-position model. The record is from RNAcentral.
GAUGAAGAACGCAGCGAAAUGCGAUAAGUAAUGUGAAUUGCAGAAUCCAGUGAAUCAUCGAAUCUUUGAACGCGCAUUGCGCCCGCCAGUAUUCUGGCGGGCAUGCCUGUCCGAGCGUCAUUUCAACCAUCAAGCCCCAGGCUUGUGUUGGGGACCUGCGUCCGACGCAGGCCCUGAAAACCAGUGGCGGGCUCGCUGUCCACACCGAGCGUAGUAACUAACCUCGCUACGGGAGCGGCGCGGGCGCCUGCCGUAAAACCCCCAAUUUUCACAAGGUUGACCUCGGAUCAGGUAGGAAUACCCGCUGAACUUAAGCAUAUCAAUAAGCGGAGGA